Molecule: ribosomal RNA, 477 nt
Filed under: uncultured bacterium
Lineage: Bacteria
Description: partial 16S ribosomal RNA
Rfam family: Bacterial small subunit ribosomal RNA
Source: RNAcentral
GACGAACGCUGGCGGCGUGCCUGACCCAUGCAAGUCGGACGAAGGUUUAGCAAUAGACCUGAGUGGCGGACGGGUGAGUAACACGUGAACAACCUGCCUCAGACAGGGGGAUAACGUCUGGAAACGGACGCUAAUACCGCGUAAGACCACAGUGGGACAUCCCACAGAGGUAAAAGGAGCAAUCCGGUUUGAGAGGGGUUCGCGUCCCAUUAGGUAGUUGGUGAGGUAACGGCUCACCAAGCCCGCGAUGGGUAGCCGAGCUGAGAGGCUGAACGGCCACACUGGAACUGAGAUACGGUCCAGACGCCUACGGGAGGCAGCAGGGAGGAAUAUUGGGCAAUGGGGGAAACCCUGACCCAGCAACGCCGCGUGAAGGAUGGAGGCCUUCGGGUUGUAAACUUCUGUGACAGGGGACGAAAGAAAUGACGGUACCCUGAGAGGAAGCCACGGCAAACUACGUGCCAGCCGCCGCGGUAA